This is a long non-coding RNA of Mustela erminea (ermine), 1492 nucleotides long. RefSeq lists it as uncharacterized. NCBI's taxonomy places the organism in Eukaryota, Metazoa, Chordata, Mammalia, Carnivora, Mustelidae. The record is from RefSeq and is a predicted model, not a curated record. The transcript has 5 exons.
CCCACUCGGCCUUCACGGGCUGUUAAGCACAGGUGGAGGGGAGGGGCGGGGAGAGCUGGGGCAUCCUGAACUCCCCUAACGAGUCACCGAGGGCACUUUUCUCCGAAGUCUAGAUGGAUGCCAGUAGCCCCCUGUCCAGACGGGGAGGUGAUAACAGCUCGCUUUGUGCGGGGAGUGGAAAACAAAGGCUCGCUAGGAUUCCCGGGAGGCUGUGCGGCCCUGGGGCUCCUGGGACCAGCUGGCACCUGGACGGCGGCUGUGAAAAAACACUGGAGGCAGAGCUCAGCUGAGCUGCAACCUCGUGAGCUCAAGCGGGGGUCACCCCUGGCUGAGGUUACGGCUAAGGGAAUGGGGUCAUCCUCCCAGGGAGAACCUGAGCGGCGGCACGGGGACGCGGACAAAAGCCGCUUUGUGGAGACUGAGCGUCCCUCGACGGCGCCGCCGUGUGGCAGCGCCGGGCAGCGACAGCGGCGGCCGCGGCAGAUCCAAGGGCGGUCCCGCGCCCACCCAGACCGACCUUCCCUGACCAUUUGGGACGGGUGAGACCGGGAACCUCAAGGAGGUGCUGAUUUUCUGUUAAGUUUGUACUGCAUUUCAGGAGCUACGCCCAUAACCAAUGCAUCCUCAGGAAGAUGAAAAGUCUGUCACUUUCCCACGUCCAUCUGCUCCCAGAGGCCACUUCAGCCUGGCUCUGAAAUUUCACUGCGCACAACCCACGUCGACUUUUAAGGCUCCAAAGGACCUCAUGCAGAAAACAGUGGAGCCUUGUAGCCAUCUCAUAAUGGAAUAAACAUGAAUGUUGCCAGGAGUCUCUCGGGAAGUCAGUCUGACGGUGAAGCAUUGCUGUGGACUUGGUACGUCUGUGGGAGGAAGCCGAGUCAGGAUCUUCCUAUGUCGCCAUCUUGAACCAUCAAAAGGCAAACAAUGGAGUGAGGUUGCUAUCAUGUGUCAAGACAUCCGAGAGUUUACUGGAAAGCUCAGAAAUAAAAUAAGAAAGGCUAGAAACUCCGUUGUACUCAUUCAGCUCACAUUCUCUUCGUCUUAUUGAUCCCAAGGAAAGAGAAGAAAAUCAUCCAUGACAAGUAGUGGCUGUCAGAAAGGCCGUUUCAUGCUCAGGGAAAAGUGAAAUCUCCCGCCAUCGGAGCAGCUUCAAGUACACUUUUCUUCUGGAGGAAAAUUGGAAAGACUGAAACUUGCUCACCCAUCAGCGUUACCUCCGCCCUUCCCUGUCUCUGUGGUAUUUUACAGCCCUGCAAGUUAUAGAAAAGGGCUAGUAUUACAAGUAAUUCUUGUCCGCAAAAAACAAAUAAGAGUUUGGUGGAACGUGAGGUCACCCUAUGGGACCUGUUUGCGAAUUCCCUCCAGCACUUCUCUGAAUGUGGGCGGCUGUGGGUUUCCUUCGGGCUGGUUCCUAGCAUCCUGUUGCUCUCCUCGGUAAUUAAUCAGCUAAAUAGGACAUUUCACCAUGUUUAUUUUCUAUUUGUAUGAGAGU